Hibiscus syriacus is the source of this 435-nucleotide long non-coding RNA. RefSeq lists it as uncharacterized. The record is from RefSeq and is a predicted model, not a curated record. Lineage: Eukaryota; Viridiplantae; Streptophyta; Magnoliopsida; Malvales; Malvaceae. The transcript is spliced from 3 exons.
AGCUCCAAUUAUUGGCUGCAAUGGAGAGCUUCUCUGAUUCCAUCGACUAAACUAGGUGCUGAUUUGAUAGUUAAAAAAGGGGUCAUUUUCACCAGCGACCCUUCUUUUCCUUUUGCCGAUUCCAUGGCCAUUCGUGACGGUAGAAUCCUUCGUGUUGGAAACUAUUCCUCACUUCAGGAUUUGUCAGGAUAUGGCACUAAAGAGCUGAAUCUUAAAGGAAAGAACGUGGUGCCCGGAUUUAUUGAUUCUCACGUGCACUUGAUCUCUGCAGGACUUCAGAUUUUGAAAUUUCACCUACUGAUAUUCUUUUCUUUGUGCCAUUUCUUUUUCAAAUGGCUUCACCUUCACUGAGCUGAUAUUGUGCACAGUAGAGACUAGAGAUCAUUCUUGACUGUUUUUAAAUCCCGGUUGUAAAUGAAGCACGGACACUUGGUA